This 799-nucleotide long non-coding RNA is filed under the name Homo sapiens (human). Its description in RNAcentral is "HSALNT0400581". Lineage: Eukaryota; Metazoa; Chordata; Mammalia; Primates; Hominidae. The record is from RNAcentral.
CUUUAUCAUGAUGUAUCUACUCAGCCAACAGAGUUGAACCUUUCUUUUGAGAGAGCAGUUUUGAAACACUCUUUUUGUGCAAUAUGCAAUUGGGUAUUAGGCCAGCUUGGAGGAUUUCGUUGGAAACGGGAAUACGUAUAAAAAGCAGACAGCAGCAUUGUCAGAAACUACUUUGUGAUGUUUGCAUUCAAGUCACAGAAUUGAACACUCCCUUUCACAGAGCAGGUUUGAAACACUCUUUUUGUAGUGUCUGUAAGUGAACAUUUGGAUUGCUUUCAGGCCUAAGGUGAAAAAGGAAAUAUCUUCCCAUAAAAACUAGACAGUAGCAUUCUCAGAAACUUGUGUGUGAUGUGUGCCCUCUACUGACAGAGUUGAACCUUUCAUUGCAAAGAGCAGUUUUGAAACCCACUUUUUGUAGAAUCUGCAAGAGGAUAUUUGGAUAGAUUUGAGGAUUUCUUGGGAAACGGGAAUGUCUUCAGAUAAACUCUAGACAGAAGCAUUCUCAGAAACUUCUUUGGGAUGUUGCAUUCAAGUCACAGAGUAGAACAUUCCCAUUCAUACAGCAGAUUUGAAACACUCUUUUUGUUGUAUCUGGAAGUGGAUAUUUGGAGCGCUUUCAGGUCUACGGUGAAAAAGGAGAUAUCUUCCAAUAAAAACUAGAUAGAAGCAAUGUCAGAACUUUUUUCAUGAUGUAUCUACUCAGCAAACAGAGUUGAACCUUUCUUUUGAGAGAGCAGUUUCGAAACACUCUUUCUGUGGAAUAUGCAAGUGGGUAUUAGGCCAGCUUGGAGGAUUUCGU